AUGCUUCUGCCCUUUUAUCUCGCACGCUGUACAAUCUCCGCCAGGUUGUCGGUGGAGGUUGGGUUCAGAUUGUCUUUGAGACAGAAACACAACAUGCAGCGCUCUAACCUUGGCAGCAAAAAUGAUCUGAAUUUCAUUAACAAGCACAAGGCGGCGGCGCUGCUUCUUCCCCCAAAACCAAAUUUGGAGGAGGGGAAGGAAGAGGCCGGGAUGGCGUCGAAGAAGAAGAAGCAGAAGCGCAAGGAGUGCAAGCACGUGAAGAUUAUGCUGUCAUCUCCUUGUGCCUCCGCGGCCAAAACCCCAAUCUUGGAGCAGGAGGAGAAGGUGGCAAGGAAACGGAAAAGGAGGAUGGAGCAGGAGCCAUCCGGCAACUUGCUGUUGCCACUUCAGCCUGGCCAUGCCUGUAACUCAUUCCUUCAGUCCCCCGCACCCGAGAUCCUAACGUUGGAAGAGGCGGCGGCGAUGAUUAGGAAGAAGAAUAUGCAUAAAGAGCAGAAGGUGGACACGCUGUCUUUUACCCAGAAUCCUACCUUAGAGGAGAAGCAGGGGCAGAAGAAGGAGCGCAAGCGCAUGGAGCAGAUAUUAUUAUCUCCUUCUACACCUGUUCCUGCUGGAACCACAAUUCAGGAGCAGGAGGUGAAGGUGAGAAAGAAACAGAAGAGGAGGAUGGAGCAGCAGCCAUCCGACAACUCGCAGUUGCCACUACACCCUGGCCAUUCCUGUAACCCAUUCCUUCAGUCCCCCGCGCCUGAAAUCCUAACGUUGGUAGAGGCGGCGGCGAUGAUGAGGAAGAGGAAUAUGCGUAAAGAGCAGAAGGUGGAUCCUACUUUAGAGGAGGAGCGGGGGGAGAAGAAGGAGUGCAACCACGUGGAGCAGACAUUGUUAUCUCCUUCCACAUCUGCUGCUGCUGAAACCCCAAUUCAAGGGCAGGAGAUGAAGGUGAUCAAGAAACAGAAGCAGAGGAGGGGCCAGGAAUCAUCCGGCAAAUCACAGGAGCCAUCCGGCAAUUUGCCGUUGCCACUUCACCCCAGCCAUGCCUGUAACCCUCCACUAGCUGCCCCACUCCUUCAAUCCCCCGCUCCUGAAAUCCUAACAUUGGAAGAGGCUGCGGCGAUGAUGAGGAGAAGGAAGAUGCCUAAAGAGCAGAAGGUGGACGCGCUGCAUUUUGCCCCAAAUCCUACCUUAAAAGAGCAUGGGGAGGAGGCCAUGAUAGCGACGACGAAGAAGAAAAAGGGCAAGUGCAUACAGCAGAUAUUGUCAUCUCCUUCAACAUCUAUUGCUGCUGAAACUCCAAUUCAGGAGCAGGAGGAGAAGGUGACCAAGAAACAAAAGCAGAGGAUGGGGCUGGAAGCAUCCAGCAACAUGCCGUUGCCACUUCACACCGGCGAUGUCUCCGAGCCCCUACUCGCUGCCCCAUUCCUUCAAGCCGCCGCUCCCGAAAUCCUAACGUUGAAAGAGGCGGCAGUGAUGAUGAGAAAAAGGAAGAUGCAUAAAGAGGAGAAGGUGGACGCACUGCCUUUUGCCCAAAAUCCUACCUUAGAGGAGGAGCAGCUGGAGGAGGCCAUGAUGGUGACGAAAAAGAAAAAUCACAAGCGCGUGGAGCAGAUAUUGUCACCUCCUUCUUCAUCUGUUACUGCAGAAACUCCGAUUCAGGAGCAGGAGGUGAAGAAACAGAAGCAGAGGAGAAGGCAGGAACCAUCCGGCAAGUCAGACCUGCCAUCUGGCAACUCGCCAUUGCCACUUCACCCUGGCCAUGCCUUUAAUCCCCUAUUCGCUGCGCCAUUCCUUCAGUCACCUGCUCCCGAAAUUCUUACGUUGGGGGAGGCGGCGGUGGCGGUGACGAUGAGUAAGAGGAAGAUGCGUAAGGAGAAGGUGGCUGCGCUGUCUUUUGCCCAAAAUCCUACCUUGGAGGAAGAGCAGCGGGAGGAGGCCAUGACUGCGACGACUAAAAAGAAGGAGCGCAAGCGUGUGGAGCAGAUAUUGUCAUCUGCUACAUCCGUUGCUGCCGAAACCCCAAUUCAGGAGCAGGAGGUGAAGGUGACCAAGAAACAGAAGCAGAGGAGGCAGGAACCGUCUGGCAAGUCACCAUUGCCACUUGACCCUGGCCAGAGUCGCUGUGUUCAAUCACAAGGAGCCAAAGCUCCACCAGAACAAGAGGGAGAGAAUGAUGGCUGCAAGGGGAUUAAAAAGAGCAACGGGAGGAAAACCCGUGUACGUGUCCUCAGUAAGCAUGAGCUCAUCCAGGAGGCAAGGAAACAGCCUCAGCCGCUGCCCGAAGGCUUUGUGCCGUUCAGCGAUUUUGUUGCCAGUUGCACGGAGCAGAAUCCUGACCAUUCAUCGCCUUACAGUGCAUUUUUCGACCAGUUCCGCUAUAACCCCGUCUGCAAAGAUCGCAAAUCCCCACUUCCCAGAACCCCUGAUCGUCUGGCCAGGUUGCCACCUCGGGGUCACUCAUCAUUUGGGUCAUCUCAGCUCGCUGCAAAUGAAGCUUCCAGAGCUUCUAGGCCGGACACCAUUCUAGCGUCCAAGACAAAGCAGCAAGAUUCAGGUUCAGGAUCACAAGAGAAAGUUAGUGUAGAAGUAAAGGAAAACCCGGAAAACAAGACGAGGGAGAAGAAGCAAAGGAAACUAUCUGGCAAGUCACUAUUGCCAUUUGACUCCAGCCGGACUUGCUGUGUUCAGCUACAAGGAACCAAAGCUCUACCAGAACAGGACCAAGAAACUGAUGCCCCAAAGGUUAACAAUAUUGAAAAAAGGAACAGCAAGAAGGCCCAUGCCUGUGCUCCCAGCAAAUGCGAACUCUUCAAGGAGAUGACAAAGGAGCAGACGCUGACUGAAGGCUUUUUGGCACCCAAAGAUUUGGUUCCCAAUUGCACUGAGCAGAGUCCCAAUUAUUCAUCGCCUUCUGGUGCAUCCUUUCAUCCGUUCUGCUAUAGAUCUGCCCGGCAAGAUCUCAAUCCCCAACCUUCUAGAAGCACUGAUCAUCUAUCCAAGCUGCCACCUCGGCAUUACCCAUCAUUUGAGUUGCCUGAGCUCACUAUGAGUGAAACCUCCAAGGCUUUCAAGGCUAACAAUUCUGUGGAGUCCAAGUCAAAGAAGAAAGAUUCAGGUUCAGGCUCCACCUCAGGCUCACAGAAGAAACAAAAUGUAAAAGAAAAGACAACCCCUGAGAAGAAGACGAGGAUCAGGAAACCACGACCAGUGUUUACCGCUGCGGAGAAGCGCUCAGACAAAUACCGACGCGUUCCCUUGGACCAGCUGGUAUCACCGCCACGCUCUCCUCAUAAUCUCUUGCAGGAGAAGUAUGCCUCUGACCCGUGGAAGGUUAUGCUCAUCUGCAUGUUCCUCAACUUAACACAGGGUAUACAGGUCAAGAGGAUAUUGGAUGGCUUCUUUGAACGCUAUCCUGACCCUUGGUCUGCAAUUAAUGCUGAUCCUGACAAGAUGGCGGAGUAUCUAGCGCCUCUAGGGUUGCAGCAUGUUAGGACACGCAAUAUCAAGAAAUUGUCCAAGCAGUAUGUUGGAAAUGAAUGGACCCAUAUUACGCAGCUUUGUGGCGUCGGCAAGUACGCAGCUGAUGCUUAUGCAAUAUUUUGUGCGGGUAGGGCGAGGGAGGUGGUACCUGAUGAUCACAAGUUAGUUGAUUACUGGAACUAUGUCUGCUUUGAGUUGCCCAUGACGCAGAUGGAUUAG
This 3693-nucleotide ribosomal RNA is filed under the name Triticum aestivum (bread wheat). RNAcentral describes it as "partial small subunit ribosomal RNA". The record is from RNAcentral. Lineage: Eukaryota; Viridiplantae; Streptophyta; Magnoliopsida; Poales; Poaceae.